AGAACGAACGCUGGCGGCAGGCUUAACACAUGCAAGUCGAACGCGUGUAGCAAUACACGAGUGGCGCACGGGUGAGUAACGCGUGGAUAUCUGCCUUUUGGUUCGGAAUAACCCCGGGAAACUGGGGCUAAUACCGGAUGGUUCCUACGGGAUAAAGAUUUAUCGCCAAAAGAUGAGUCCGCGUCCGAUUAGCUAGUUGGUGGGGUAAUGGCCUACCAAGGCGACGAUCGGUAGCUGGUCUGAGAGGACGAUCAGCCACACUGGGACUGAGACACGGCCCAGACUCCUACGGGAGGCAGCAGUGGGGAAUAUUGGACAAUGGGGGCAACCCUGAUCCAGCCAUGCCGCGUGAGUGAUGAAGGCCUUCGGGUUGUAAAGCUCUUUUGGCGGGGUACGAUGAUGACGGUACCCGCAGAAUAAGCCCCGGCUAACUUCGUGCCAGUAGCCGC
Molecule: ribosomal RNA, 449 nt
Filed under: uncultured bacterium
Lineage: Bacteria
Description: SSU rRNA
Rfam family: Bacterial small subunit ribosomal RNA
Source: RNAcentral